Molecule: ribosomal RNA, 497 nt
Filed under: uncultured bacterium
Lineage: Bacteria
Description: partial 16S ribosomal RNA
Rfam family: Bacterial small subunit ribosomal RNA
Source: RNAcentral
GAUGAACGCUGGCGGCGUGCCUAAUACAUGCAAGUCGAGCGAACGGACGAGAAGCUUGCUUCUCUGAUGUUAGCGGCGGACGGGUGAGUAACACGUGGAUAACCUACCUAUAAGACUGGGAUAACUUCGGGAAACCGUAGCUAAUACCGGAUAAUAUUUUGAACCGCAUGGUUCAAAAGUGAAAGACGGUCUUGCUGUCACUUAUAGAUGGAUCCGCGCUGCAUUAGCUAGUUGGUAAGGUAACGGCUUACCAAGGCAACGAUGCAUAGCCGACCUGAGAGGGUGAUCGGCCACACUGGAGCUUGGCCACGGUCCAGAGUCCUACGGGAGGCAGCAGUAGGGAAUCUUCCGCAGAGGGCGAAAGCCUGACGGAGCAACGCCGCGUGAGUGAUGAAGGUCUUCGGAUCGUAAAACUCUGUUAUUAGGGAAGAACAUAUGUGUAAGUAACUGUGCACAUCUUGACGGUACCUAAUCAGAAAGCCACGGCUAACUACGUG